This 1125-nucleotide ribosomal RNA is filed under the name Arthrobacter sp. R63(2016). Its description in RNAcentral is "bacterial SSU rRNA". It matches the Rfam family "Bacterial small subunit ribosomal RNA", at positions 173 to 1313 of the family's 1533-position model. Lineage: Bacteria; Bacillati; Actinomycetota; Actinomycetes; Micrococcales; Micrococcaceae. The record is from RNAcentral.
UGACUCCUCAUCGCAUGGUGGGGGGUGGAAAGCUUUUUGUGGUUUUGGAUGGACUCGCGGCCUAUCAGCUUGUUGGUGAGGUAAUGGCUUACCAAGGCGACGACGGGUAGCCGGCCUGAGAGGGUGACCGGCCACACUGGGACUGAGACACGGCCCAGACUCCUACGGGAGGCAGCAGUGGGGAAUAUUGCACAAUGGGCGCAAGCCUGAUGCAGCGACGCCGCGUGAGGGAUGACGGCCUUCGGGUUGUAAACCUCUUUCAGUAGGGAAGAAGCGAAAGUGACGGUACCUGCAGAAGAAGCGCCGGCUAACUACGUGCCAGCAGCCGCGGUAAUACGUAGGGCGCAAGCGUUAUCCGGAAUUAUUGGGCGUAAAGAGCUCGUAGGCGGUUUGUCGCGUCUGCCGUGAAAGUCCGGGGCUCAACUCCGGAUCUGCGGUGGGUACGGGCAGACUAGAGUGAUGUAGGGGAGACUGGAAUUCCUGGUGUAGCGGUGAAAUGCGCAGAUAUCAGGAGGAACACCGAUGGCGAAGGCAGGUCUCUGGGCAUUAACUGACGCUGAGGAGCGAAAGCAUGGGGAGCGAACAGGAUUAGAUACCCUGGUAGUCCAUGCCGUAAACGUUGGGCACUAGGUGUGGGGGACAUUCCACGUUUUCCGCGCCGUAGCUAACGCAUUAAGUGCCCCGCCUGGGGAGUACGGCCGCAAGGCUAAAACUCAAAGGAAUUGACGGGGGCCCGCACAAGCGGCGGAGCAUGCGGAUUAAUUCGAUGCAACGCGAAGAACCUUACCAAGGCUUGACAUGAACCGGAAACACCUGGAGACAGGUGCCCCGCUUGCGGUCGGUUUACAGGUGGUGCAUGGUUGUCGUCAGCUCGUGUCGUGAGAUGUUGGGUUAAGUCCCGCAACGAGCGCAACCCUCGUUCUAUGUUGCCAGCACGUGAUGGUGGGGACUCAUAAGAGACUGCCGGGGUCAACUCGGAGGAAGGUGGGGACGACGUCAAAUCAUCAUGCCCCUUAUGUCUUGGGCUUCACGCAGGCUACAAUGGCCGGUACAAAGGGUUGCGAUACUGUGAGGUGGAGCUAAUCCCAAAAAGCCGGUCUCAGUUCGGAUUGGGGUCUGCAACUC